UUUUUUAGGGAAAAUCUGGCCUUCCCACAAGGGAAGGCCAGGGAACUUUCUU
Molecule: regulatory RNA element, 52 nt
Rfam family: HIV Ribosomal frameshift signal
About the family: This family represents the HIV Ribosomal frameshift signal. HIV uses a system called -1 ribosomal frameshifting to produce the required ratio of Gag and Gag-Pol polyproteins.
Source: Rfam